Molecule: ribosomal RNA, 500 nt
Filed under: uncultured bacterium
Lineage: Bacteria
Description: partial 16S ribosomal RNA
Rfam family: Bacterial small subunit ribosomal RNA
Source: RNAcentral
AUUGAACGCUGGCGGCAUGCCUUACACAUGCAAGUCGAACGGCAGCACGGGAGCAAUCCUGGUGGCGAGUGGCGAACGGGAGAGUAAAGUAUCGGAACGUGCCCAGUCGUGGGGGAUAACGUAGCGAAAGUUACGCUACUACCGCAGACGAUCGAUGGAUGAAAGCGGGGGAUCGCAAGACCUCGCGCGAUUGGAUCGGCCGAUAUCAGGUUAGGUAGUUGGUGGGGUAAAGGCUCACCAAGCCGACGAUCUGUAGCUGGUCUGAGAGGACGACCAGCCACACUGGGACUGAGAAACGGCCCAGACUCCUACGGGAGGCAGCAGUGGGGAAUUUUGGACAAUGGGCGAAAGCCUGAUCCAGCCAUGCCGCGUGCAGGAUGAAGGCCUUCGGGUUGUAAACUGCUUUUGUACGGAACGAAAAGGUUUGGCCUAAUAAGCUGAGCUCAUGACGGUACCGUAAGAAUAAGCACCGGCUAACUACGUGCCAGCCGCCGCGGUAA